ACGGAGGGUGCAAGCGUUGCUCGGAUUUAUUGGGCGUAAAGGGUAGGUAGGUGGUCUUAUUUGUCUGGGGUGAAAGCCUUGAGCUUAACUCAAGAAGUGCCCCAGAAACGGUGAGACUAGAGUUCUAGAGAGGAUCGUGGAAUUCCCGGUGUAGCGGUGAAAUGCGUAGAGAUCGGGAGGAACACCAGAGGCGAAGGCGGCGACCUGGAUAGAUACUGACACUCAACUACGAAAGCGUGGGGAGCAAACAGGA
Molecule: ribosomal RNA, 253 nt
Filed under: uncultured prokaryote
Description: partial 16S ribosomal RNA
Rfam family: Bacterial small subunit ribosomal RNA
Source: RNAcentral